This 477-nucleotide ribosomal RNA is filed under the name uncultured Pichia. RNAcentral describes it as "eukaryotic LSU rRNA". It matches the Rfam family "Eukaryotic large subunit ribosomal RNA", at positions 62 to 547 of the family's 3401-position model. Lineage: Eukaryota; Fungi; Ascomycota; Saccharomycetes; Saccharomycetales; Saccharomycetaceae. The record is from RNAcentral.
AAACCAACAGGGAUUGCCUCAGUAGCGGCGAGUGAAGCGGCAAGAGCUCAGAUUUGAAAUCGCAGCGCAUGCUGCGAGUUGUAGAUUGCAGGUGGGAGAGUCUGCGUAGGCCGGUGUCGAAGUCCCUUGGAACAGGGCGCCACUGAGGGUGAGAGCCCCGUGCGAUGCCACGCUCUACGUUUUGUACUCCCCUCUGACGAGUCGAGUUGUUUGGGAAUGCAGCUCUAAGUGGAUGGUAAAUUCCAUCUAAGGCUAAAUACUGGCGAGAGACCGAUAGCGAACAAGUACUGUGAAGGAAAGAUGAAAAGCACUUUGAAAAGAGAGUGAAACAGCACGUGAAAUUGUUGAAAGGGAAGGGUAUUGGGCCCGACAUGGGAAUCGCGCACCGCUGCUCCUUGUGGGCGGCGCUCUGGGCUUUUCCUGGGCCAGCAUCGGUUCUUGCUGCAGGAGAAGGGGCUGUGGAAUGUGGCUGCCGCG